Molecule: ribosomal RNA, 463 nt
Filed under: uncultured bacterium
Lineage: Bacteria
Description: bacterial SSU rRNA
Rfam family: Bacterial small subunit ribosomal RNA
Source: RNAcentral
GACGAACGCUGGCGGCGUGCUUAACACAUGCAAGUCAAGGGGGCUCGCAAGAGCAACCGGCGAACGGGUGCGUAACACGUGAGCAACCUGCCUAAGUGUGGGGGAUAGCCGGCCCAACGGCCGGGUAAUACCGCAUACGCUCACUGGGUGGCAUCACCUGGUGAAGAAACUUUCGAGGCACUUAGAGGGGCUCGCGGCCUAUCAGCUUGUUGGUGGGGUAAUGGCCUACCAAGGCACGACGGGUAGCUGGUCUGAGAGGAUGGCCAGCCACAUUGGGACUGAGAUACGGCCCAGACUCCUACGGGAGGCAGCAGUGGGGAAUAUUGCGCAAUGGGCGAAAGCCUGACGCAGCGACGCCGCGUGGGGAGUGAAGCAUUUCGGUGUGUAAACCCCUGUUGCUCGGGACGAAAAGCGAUUUUGAUCGCUCUGACGGUACCGAGUGAGGAAGCACCGGCUAACUCCG